UACGUAGGGUGCGAGCGUUGCCCGGAUUUAUUGGGCGUAAAGGGCGCGUAGGCGGCCACGCACGUCCGUUGUGAAAUCGCCCGGCUCAACUGGGCGGGGUCAGCGGAUACGGUGUGGCUCGAGCAAGCUAGGGGGCAACGGAAUUCCCGGUGUAGUGGUGGAAUGCAUAGAUAUCGGGAGGAACACCAGUGGCGAAGGCGGUUGCCUGGAGCUUUGCUGACGCUGAGGCGCGAAAGCGUGGGGAGCGAUCCGG
RNAcentral lists this ribosomal RNA (253 nucleotides) under uncultured bacterium. Its description in RNAcentral is "partial 16S ribosomal RNA". It matches the Rfam family "Bacterial small subunit ribosomal RNA", at positions 524 to 776 of the family's 1533-position model. The record is from RNAcentral.